Molecule: long non-coding RNA, 1657 nt
Filed under: Homo sapiens (human)
Lineage: Eukaryota; Metazoa; Chordata; Mammalia; Primates; Hominidae
Description: HSALNT0075312
Source: RNAcentral
GGACCGCAGGCGAGAGGGAGAAGGAAGGGCGCCCGGGGAGCAGGCUGGCAGAGUGACCGGGAUUGAUGAGCGGCGCAGCUCUGGAGGGACGCGGGCGAGAGGGUCGCUCCUCGGGGAGAGGGCUGGGUGAGUGAGGACCUGCGAGCCACCCCCGACACCCCUUCCAGGGUAGCCACACUGGCGCCCCCUCCUCCACAACAGGCUUAUGUGGCUAGAGAAGAUGCGAUGCCACUGGACAGGGAAGGAAAGUCGUCGUGGACUUCGCUGAAUGGAAAAGGGGGUAGUUGGGGAAGGUGGAGAAAAGAGCCACGGGAAGUGGGAGGAAAGGAUGAAGGGAUGGGACGUUGAAAAGGAAAGCUUCCUGAAUCCCUGUGUGACUCUAACCCAACCUCCCCACCUACCGGAGAAAUGGGUUUUAUCCUAGAAAUGGGGACGAGGAAAAAGAGAUGGCUCAAGGGAGUCCUGGCCCGGGAUGCGAUCCUCGCCCUAGGGUCUAUUGCAACCACACAAACCCGGACAGCGCACGCUCCCCCCUACCCCGACAGAAUAGUGCCUAAGAAACCUGCUUGCCUCCUAACUCUAGGAAGGAAUCCACAACGGAUUCCAGGGAGGUCUUCUGGGGAAUCUGAAUUGGGUUUUUGGAUCACGAACCAUUAAGCUUUUGAACUCUGGGGUUUUGCCUUUUCCGGAAUGCCAUAUAUAAGGAAUCAUACAGUAUGCAGUCUUUCUUUCAAUUUUGCUGUGAAACUAAAACUGCUAAGAAAAUAAAGUCUUAAAAAGAAAAAUCAAUGGAGAAGGGAAAGCUCUACCACCCUCUGAUUUUUUUUAACAGCCUAUGAUAAGAGGAGAUGAAUGCCUGCUAAAGCGACCAGAAGGCUCUCAGUAAAAAGUAUUCACUAGGUAUCAAUAGAAUCUGCAAAACGAAGAGGUGCUUGAAAGAUGUGAAAGAGGAAACUUAAAGAGAAACCCAGAUGGUACAUCUCUCUUCCUGGCUAGAUAGAUGGAAUGUACAGCCAGAGGAUUGGAUGAGGUCAUCGACGGAGAGAAUGCAGAGAGAAUCCUGGGGCUCACCAACAUGAAGAAUUUGGGACAAGAAAGAAGAUCCAGCAGAGAAGACUGAAAGAAGGCAACUAAUGAAAUAGGAGAGAACCUGGAGAGCACAGAGUCUUAGAGGCCAAGAAAGUGGUUUAAUAUAAUCCGUAUCAAAGCAUUUGUGGUUUAUUUUUGUUAACUGACAAAAGGAUUCUAAAACAUACCUGAAAAGUAUAAUUCACACCUAGGAUAAUGGAUCAUUCUGUCACAUUGUUCCUUUUUCACAGCUGAUAUGAACAUGAUAUUUUCAUGACUUUGUAAAAUAAAAAUGGAAUCUUUCUAAUUUUUUUAAAAAAACUGCUUACUUAUGCAAGCCUUCUGUCUCUCACUGUAUAACCCCUCCACUUUUAUACGGGUCACACAUGUUUCUGUCACUUUCCUGGAGCCCUUGUAGCAAAUUAAUAACAUGUAGCACAUGCUUGAAGAAAAAUUUGUCUAGGACAUUUUGUUUUUGAGAUUCAUAAAUUGACUCUAUUUUACAUAAGAAUCUAUUAUGCCAUAGGAAGCUUAUUAAACCCUUGAGCAGGAACAAAUUAUUCAAUAAAUGGUGAUGAGAUGAAUGCCU